This 2907-nucleotide long non-coding RNA is filed under the name Bemisia tabaci. Its description in RNAcentral is "lncRNA ENSSWEETPG003544". Lineage: Eukaryota; Metazoa; Arthropoda; Insecta; Hemiptera; Aleyrodidae. The record is from RNAcentral.
CAUUUUCUUGUUUACCGCGAAGACUCCUAACCUCAAAAACGCUUUGGUUUACCGCUAUCAAUUGGAAUUCACUUUUAUUGUAUUGUUGUUCUCUAGUAUUGUUUUAGUUAUAGUUACAAAUAGUUCGUUGUUGCCUUCGUAGUGGUUAGUUUUAGUGUUUUAACAAUGGCGCCUAGUUCUGCAACGAAAGUAAGGAGCUACUCCUGCCCGUAUCAAGAGUAAAAACGAUAAUGAAAAGUUCGCCGGAUGUUGAAAACGUUGGACAAGACGCUCUUCAUUUGGUCACAAAAUCCACGUACCUGACUAGAAUGUCUUACAAGAAGUCGCCGGAUGGUAAUAAGCUAGAAUACAAACAAUUAGCUGAGUUUGUCCAGAAUAAAAACAGUAUGAGGUUUUUAAGAGAAAUCUUACCAAAGAAAAUUACCGUGAAACAGUACAAGCAAAUGUUGAGAAGUCAAGGUGAAUUGCAUACCUCAGACUCAUCAUCAGAUUCAGGGAGUUCAGAUGACUCAGAAUCAGAAGAUUCAGAAGAAUCAGACGAUUCAGACAAGUCAGAGGGAACGGAAGGAGACGAACAAGAGAAGAGCGGGAAAGAUAAAUCAUAGUUUUCCACCAUGUUCAAGAGCACAAUGUUUCAAAUUUGUAUAAGUAUGUAAAAAAAAAUUCUGUAAUUCUACUUUUAAGUGAUCAGUCAACAGAAAGAAGUGGUCACAUAACUUUCUCAUUCCACUGAAGAGACUAAAAAACUGAAGUUUCAACAUAACCUAAGUACUUACCAAUUUAAAAAUGUCAAAAUGAAUGAAAUGCCAAGUAAUCAGAUCGUAGGUCAUGCUAAUUAAUUACUCUCCUAUAUACAUAUUGGUAUUUGAUAGACACGCUAAGUGGAGCGUCAGUCUGGGGUAUUAAUGCGGGUGUUACCUGUUGAACCUUACAGGCCUGCAGGCUGAUGACUUUUGAUUAACAACUCCGAAUCAACUCUCACCAAAACAAAAGGCUUUUCCAAAUUUUUAUUUAUUUUAUUUAAUUUUAACAGUAUACACCCGCAUUGAUACCUUAUCGUAGAAAGCAUGGAAUACAACAAAAUUUGCCAAAAUGAAGGUGAAUAAUAGAAAUAAUAAUAAUAAUAAUAUGGUGAAUAAUAUAAUAAUAUGGUGGGUGAAUAAUUUUGCCUAAUAGAAGGGUCCAAUGUCCCUGUCUAUGUUCAAUAAUAGUUCAUUCACCAGUAUUGUAGCAGUAAGUUUGUUUUACUCAGAACAACGAAUCAAUAUGUCACACACCAAAAUGGAAAACUCAUUCAUCAAAAGGACUAUGCACGGAUUGCAAAGAAAUUUAGCAUCAGCUGAAUUUAUAUAUCUUUUGAUUGAUGUUCCUUACAGCCUUCUAAUCACAAUAUGCUUUUCAAAUAAAACUUUCGAUGUGCCAAUCUUGUGGAAAGCUGUGCUUAAAGGUGAAUUCACUGGCAUUUGUACACUCCAGAACUAGACAAAAUGUUGCCUUAUUUAAGAGGGCUGAAAAAGCCACUUUUCAGCUCUACUUUUCUCAAGGUUGACACAUGAAAAGUUCGAUUUUAAAAGCUCAUAGUGCCCAGGAGGUCGCAAGGAACAUCAUAUCAAAAAAUAUCGAAAUUUAGCCAGUGCUGACUUUCUUGGUAUUCCAAGCGUGGUCCUUUUUUUAUGAUGCCUCAAAUACCUAUCACGCUUCCCUAUUGAGAAAGAAAAGAAAUACAGGGAAGAGAGCCAAGCAAUGUGGUAAUUUAAUUUAGUAGACUUACAUUCUUUGAUGAGUGAUGCAAAGAUACGUUACGAACAAAAAUGAUGCGAAGGAAGGAAGCACGCUCGUAUUACUUUGUUGAUGUUUUUUUUUGCUCUUAUUAUUCUGCACAGAAAAACAUAGUCCCUUAACUCUAACUCUAUGUACCAGUCGAUUUCAGAAACUGUGUAUGUUACGAAAGUGCAAAAACUGUGUCAGUUCUCAUUGAUGUUGCUUUAGUUGAAUUUCAACUAGUGCAAUACUUAUCAUUGCUCUUUCUGAAUGAAUUCUAUAAUUGAAUCCAUGAACCAUUUUUGAAACCCUGUUUUUACAAUUUUAAUCAGUUGAAAACUUGAACUGAUAUACCUUACAGAACUGUUGCAUCACCUUUUCAAGCUAUAUUUUAAAAUGUUAGUUCAAUUGUUUCAAGCAAGCCGUUGCAAAUGUUAUUUUCUUUUUUUUUUUUUUUUUCUUUGUUUCACCUCUUGAUUGACAGGCAGUAUUUUAAAAAGCCAUAGUGGCCUAACUUGUCUCACAAAAGUAUGUAAAUGACUUCUGUUACAGUUUUUUUUUUCAGUAAAAAACACACUACUUGUAUAGUUGAGUUGAUCUCAUUCCAUAAUAAAAUACUCAUUUCACGAUUAAAAAAAGUUAUUCUUUUUCAAAAAUUGAAAAACUCUUCACCUGUCAUCAACGGAGACUGAAAUUCAAUAGCAGAGACCUAAAGCAUACAUAAUUAUUGACAAAAGAAUAUCAGUAGUUUCCCUGAUUGAAAUUCACUGAUUUUUACAGUUUUUGGCAGAAAAUUGGGGCUGUGCACAUUGUAUGUCAUGCUCUGGGGAGGGUCUAAGCCUGUGUUAUGAAAGUGUUUUAGAAGGGACGGGGAGUCCAGAACUGUUUUGUAAAAGUCCUUUCCUCGUAAACGGUCAUGUUUUUUAAUUUUAUAAAAUUAAGUCGAUGGUGGUUAGAUGGUCGAUGACGAACGAUGGUCUAAAAAAUUAUCCUGUACUUCUAGUCCUACCAGUAUAAUUUUCAAACAAAGAACUGUCUCGUAGGAAAAAAUUGUCACAAAUUCAUUUUCAGAAUUUAUCUCUGUACUCAUUCAAUUAAGAAAAUUAGUCAACAUAUUACUGAUAAAUACUAAUUCCACAGUGAAAA